UGGUCAUUACCAAGGCUGCUAGGAUGUUGCUGUUUCUGGUGAGCUGUGGACAUGACCAUAAAACAAUCCCAUCAGACCCUUAAGUUGCCACACAAUGUGGCACCAAGUCUGCUGGGAACAAAG
This 123-nucleotide small nucleolar RNA is filed under the name Colius striatus (speckled mousebird). Its description in RNAcentral is "Small nucleolar RNA SNORA32". It matches the Rfam family "Small nucleolar RNA SNORA32". From Rfam's summary of the family: ACA32 is a member of the H/ACA class of snoRNA that guide the sites of modification of uridines to pseudouridines. The record is from Rfam by way of RNAcentral. Lineage: Eukaryota; Metazoa; Chordata; Aves; Coliiformes; Coliidae.